This 471-nucleotide ribosomal RNA is filed under the name uncultured bacterium. RNAcentral describes it as "bacterial SSU rRNA". It matches the Rfam family "Bacterial small subunit ribosomal RNA", at positions 41 to 507 of the family's 1533-position model. The record is from RNAcentral.
GGCAUGCCUUACACAUGCAAGUCGAACGGCAGCACGGGAGCAAUCCUGGUGGCGAGUGGCGAACGGGUGAGUAAUAUAUCGGAACGUGCCCGGUCGUGGGGGAUAACGUAGCGAAAGCUACGCUAAUACCGCAUACGAUCUACGGAUGAAAGCGGGGGAUCGCAAGACCUCGCGCGAUUGGAGCGGCCGAUAUCAGAUUAGGUAGUUGGUGAGGUAAAGGCUCACCAAGCCGACGAUCUGUAGCUGGUCUGAGAGGACGACCAGCCACACUGGGACUGAGACACGGCCCAGACUCCUACGGGAGGCAGCAGUGGGGAAUUUUGGACAAUGGGCGCAAGCCUGAUCCAGCAAUGCCGCGUGCAGGAUGAAGGCCUUCGGGUUGUAAACUGCUUUUGUACGGAACGAAACGGUGAGCUCUAAUACAGUUUGCUAAUGACGGUACCGUAAGAAUAAGCACCGGCUAACUACGUG